UACAGAGGUGGCAAGCGUUGUUCGGAAUUACUGGGCGUAAAGGGCGCGUAGGCGGCCUUCUAAGUCAGACGUGAAAUCCCCAGGCUUAACUUGGGAACUGCGUCUGAUACUGGGAGGCUUGAGUGCGGGAGAGGGAUGUGGAAUUCCAGGUGUAGCGGUGAAAUGCGUAGAUAUCUGGAGGAACACCGGUGGCGAAGGCGGCAUCCUGGACCGACACUGACGCUGAGGCGCGAAAGCUAGGGGAGCAAA
RNAcentral lists this ribosomal RNA (249 nucleotides) under uncultured bacterium. RNAcentral describes it as "partial 16S ribosomal RNA". It matches the Rfam family "Bacterial small subunit ribosomal RNA", at positions 524 to 772 of the family's 1533-position model. The record is from RNAcentral.